AUUUUAUUUCAACGGCAUUCUGAAACAAUUGUGAAAAAAAGGUAAGAUUCUGCGACAAUAAGAAACAAAAUUCUUGAAUUUAAUCUUAUUUCAACGUUCUCGAAACAAUUGUGAAAAAAAGAUGAACUUGAUAUUCUUCAACUUAAUUCCUCGAGAGUUUGAAAAGAUAAAUGGACGAGUUGUGUAUGCUCUCUCUAGCGCGUAUAAUCAACGACGCUUCGUGAAGAAAUCGUACUUCAAUGGCGUUUCAAUGGAAUGUAUUUCGCGCGUAACAAUUGUGAAAAAAAAAAAGAAACUCGAAAGAAUAAAUGAACGAGUUGUGUAUACUUCUUCUAACUUGUGUACAAUCGACGAGGAUUCGCGAAGAAAUUUUAUUUGACGGGCGAGAAAUUCCAUUUUUCGCCGUGUCGUUUAUUAUAACGCGUGUAAACUUUCACGGUAUCCGGUUAUAAACCGUAACUCGCUCAUCCAGAGAUCAGGAGCUCUUCUUUCCCUCCUAAUUGAAAGUUACACCCGAGUCUAGAUACAUUUUCCAGCGGACAAGAUAAUCGCGUCGCAUCCGACACAUUCGUAUUCCUCUCCCUUCGAUUCUACAUCUCGUUACAAUGUUCCCGAUAACGCAUCUGGGGGAAUCUUAAUUACAGGCUCGUUAGUGCGCGUGCGCUGCGCGGCUGUUGCCUUCGUUGAAAUACACGCGAUCCCGGCCGCUCGAUUAAACUCGUUAGUUUCGCGAAAAUUUCCUCGCGAGCGACAACAGCUCGUUCGUUAGACCAGCGUUUCUCAAUCUGUCCGGGUUCAAUUGAAUUUAUAACUAAACGGAGGACGAACAGUGGAUUACGGUAUAGAUAGAGCAAUGAAUUUUCUACUGGUGCUCCCUCUUCCCCGCUGCGAGUGCGCUCGAAUACGCGGUUCUGGUUUUGCUAUUCGAGAUGGUCCGCUAUCUUUUCCCAACAUUUCUCGGAAAAGUAUCUCGCAAGGAAUGAAUGAAAAAUUUCCAAAUAAAUAAUAGAUUAAUUAGAAUAUUGUUAUAUAUAUAGAUAAAGAAAUGAUUUUCUAUUCUUCUAUGCUGUGACGCCUUAAGUUUUAUCAUUGCCAAUAUUUUUCAGGAAAAUUCGCAGGUAAACAAUGGAUUAACAGUAGACAUAUAUAGAAAAAUUCGCAAAUAAAUAAUAAAUUAAUUAAAAUAUUGUUAUAUAUACAGAUAAAGAAAUAAUUUUCUAUCCUUCUAUGCUGUGACGCCUUAAGUUUCAUCAUUGCCAAUAUUUUUCAGAAAAAUUCACAGAUAAACAGUGGAUUAAGAGACAUUAUUAUAUAUUGUUAUAUAAAGACAUGAAUUUUCUACCCUUCUAUGCUGUGAUGCGUUAAGUUUUAUCAUUGCCAAUAUUUUUUCAGAAAAAUUCACAGAUAAACAAUGGAUUAACAGUAGAUAUAUAUAGAAAAAUUCGCAAAUAAAUAACAGAUUAAUUAGAAUAUUGUUACAUAUACAGAUAAAGAAAUUAAUUUUCUAC
Molecule: long non-coding RNA, 1508 nt
Organism: Apis cerana (Asiatic honeybee)
Lineage: Eukaryota; Metazoa; Arthropoda; Insecta; Hymenoptera; Apidae
Source: RefSeq, a predicted model, not a curated record